RNAcentral lists this ribosomal RNA (478 nucleotides) under uncultured bacterium. RNAcentral's name for it is "partial 16S ribosomal RNA". It matches the Rfam family "Bacterial small subunit ribosomal RNA", at positions 28 to 507 of the family's 1533-position model. The record is from RNAcentral.
GAUGAACGCUGGCGGCGUGCUUAACACAUGCAAGUCGAACGGGAAAUAUUUCAUUGAGACUUCGGUGGAUUUGAUUUAUUUCUAGUGGCGGACGGGUGAGUAACGCGUGGGUAACCUGCCUUAUACAGGGGGAUAACAGUCAGAAAUGGCUGCUAAUACCGCAUAAGCGCACAGAGCUGCAUGGCUCAGUGUGAAAAACUCCGGUGGUAUAAGAUGGACCCGCGUUGGAUUAGCUAGUUGGGGGGGUAACGGCCCACCAAGGCGACGAUCCAUAGCCGGCCUGAGAGGGUGAACGGCCACAUUGGGACUGAGACACGGCCCAGACUCCUACGGGAGGCAGCAGUGGGGAAUAUUGCACAAUGGGGGAAACCCUGAUGCAGCGACGCCGCGUGAAGGAAGAAGUAUCUCGGUAUGUAAACUUCCAUCAGCAGGGAAGAUAGUGACGGUACCUGACGAAGAAGCCCCGGCUAACUACGUG